This 257-nucleotide unclassified non-coding RNA is filed under the name uncultured fungus. Its description in RNAcentral is "partial contains small subunit ribosomal RNA, internal transcribed spacer 1, and 5.8S ribosomal RNA". The stretch from base 1 to 73 matches the Rfam family "Eukaryotic small subunit ribosomal RNA", at positions 1759 to 1831 of the family's 1831-position model. The record is from RNAcentral. Lineage: Eukaryota; Fungi.
GCAAACUUGGUCAUUUAGAGGAAGUAAAAGUCGUAACAAGGUUUCCGUAGGUGAACCUGCGGAAGGAUCAUUACCAAGGUUUAAGAUCAAUCCCACUUUUGUGCACUUAUUGGAGUCAUGGAUCUUUUUUGGAUCCGUGGCUCCCAAACCUCUUUUUUCCCUCUUUUACUUUUUGUCUGAGUUUGAUAAAACAAACAAAAAAUUAUACAACUUUCAACAACGGAUCUCUUGGCUCUCGCAUCGAUGAAGAACGCAGC